GACGAACGCUGGCGGCGUGCUUAACACAUGCAAGUCGAACGGAAAGGCCCCUUUGGGGGUACUCGAGUGGCGAACGGGUGAGUAACACGUGAGUAACCUGCCCUUGACUUCGGGAUAACUUCAGGAAACUGGGGCUAAUACCGGAUAGGAAUCCUUGCUGCAUGGUGUGGGUUGGAAAGCUUCGGCGGUUUUGGAUGGACUCGCGGCUUAUCAGCUUGUUGGUGGGGUAGUGGCUUACCAAGGCUUUGACGGGUAGCCGGCCUGAGAGGGCGACCGGCCACAUUGGGACUGAGAUACGGCCCAGACGCCUAAGGGAGGAAGCAGUGGGGAAUAUUGCACAAUGGGCGGAAGCCUGAUGCAGCAACGCCGCGUGCGGGAUGACGGCCUUCGGGUUGUAAAACGCUUUCAGCAGGGGCGAAGCUUGUGGUGACGGUACCUGAAGAAGAAGCACCGGCUAACUACGUG
RNAcentral lists this ribosomal RNA (465 nucleotides) under uncultured bacterium. Its description in RNAcentral is "partial 16S ribosomal RNA". It matches the Rfam family "Bacterial small subunit ribosomal RNA", at positions 28 to 507 of the family's 1533-position model. The record is from RNAcentral.